RNAcentral lists this long non-coding RNA (4510 nucleotides) under Sorghum bicolor (sorghum). RNAcentral describes it as "long non-coding RNA (SBIC_LNC012926)". The record is from RNAcentral. Lineage: Eukaryota; Viridiplantae; Streptophyta; Magnoliopsida; Poales; Poaceae.
UCUAGAGUAUCGAUUUUCCACAGGGAACCUGAGUGAACUAAUUAAGAUUCAAGAUCUCCCAAGGAUAACUAUAUCAUUAUUUUUGGUGGGAAGAGAGGAAGUUUCCUGAGAGUUCUCUAGUUGAUCUAAGAAUCAAGAAUUACUUCAAAGAUUAUUUAUUUUGGAACAUCAGAACACUAACCACAAAAAGAGAUGAGAAGGGGGCUAGGAAGCUCUGACUACGGUCCUACAAACACCAAUCCGAACGAGGUGGAAUACGUUGACCGUUAGGGCUGUCACUACCCUAGGGCUACCACAACAAUCCGAAGGAUUGGGAUCAAUUCCAGUUAAUUGCAAGACUAAACACCAUGUCUAAUCUAUUAAUUACUACUCUAGUGUUUCAAAUACUAGAGCACUUGAUGCAAGCGAGAAUCCAAUAAAUAACAUGAAUGUAAAUAAAAGUAAUUAAAGAACUGGGGAAUUAUGAAUUGGAGAACUUGGAGAACGAUGAAGAACGAACCAGUUGCUGCAAAAGUACAAUGUUGAGGAAGAUCCGACAGAUCCAGCUCCUCCUCCGCUCUCCUCUUCUCUCUCCCUAUAUUCUAGAUUACAACUAGAACUAACUAGAACUAGAAUUAGAUGAACUAGAACUAGAACUAGAUGAACUAGAGGGAUCCUCUCUACUUGGACGAGUAAUUGAAACACUAGCUUUGAUUCUGUAGAAGAGGUAUGUUCUCCAGGGGCCAGGGGCGCUGCUUAUAUAGUCAUUCCAAAUGAAUGUGGGCCGUCGGAUCAAGCCGACCUUAAUCGCACGGUUUUCCUUGAUCCUCAAAGGCGGUGGAGCACGAUCCGUGAGACCUGCCCUGAUUGGUCACCAGGGCAGGUCAGGCGCCCAAGGGGGGAGGGCGGGCGCCCUGCCCCCAGGCCCGCUCGGCCUCCCGUUCGUUCCCAUGGCUUCUGGAGUCUUCUAGAUGAUAGAAAAUUGGUGCACACGUUAAUAUCUCUAUGUAAACCUGACGUGUGGGCCUUUUCUCCAUAUUUCCUGAUAACCCCCUGCAGAAGUAGACAAACACCAAAACUCGUGGAAUUCUGUUAGAUAAAACCCUAAGACUAGGCGUCGGUUGCAUUUGGAUCCUUUUCCAUGAUUAGUUGACGGUAAAAUGUGAGCAUUAAGGACCGUCAACAAGCUCCUCCAAGCUUAACCUUUGCUCGUCCUUAAUGGUACACAUGCGUUCAAACAAGAUCUCAUCUCUAGGUUAGGGUAAACUGUUAAGAUUUAAACUUACUCAUUUUACCUUCCACCAUGGGGCUUGCAACCGUCACUUGUGUCAUGAGCAGUUAAAAGAUAGAACGGUCUAGUCAAGCACCAUGUCUCUUGUUCUUCGAUUAACUAUAGCUCUGGAGUUUUUGUUGCAGAUUUUCAAAUAAAACUCAGAGAUUCCUUGUAUGACUCUCUCUAGUCUCUCUUUUGUGGUAUUUUUGGAUCCUUACCAAGGCAGUAAUGGUAUAUGCCUUCUCUCAAAGUAUGUGGUAUUUUUGGUAUGAGGCAUAGUGGCAUUGCCUUCUCUCUCACCCUACUCUAAUAAGGUUUUGAUAUCUGGAGCUCAUAGGUGGGAGACAGCUAAUACAUACUUACAAGACAUUUAUUGUAUAGUCAAACCAUGGAUCUAGAAGAGCAAGUCAAUAAGUCAAAUCAAGAUGUGGAUGUGUGGAAAAAUGAAUGGUGAUAAUGGUGAAAAUUAUGGUGAAAGUCUAAUUCUACUUUUGCUCUUUUGAGGGGGUACAUACCUUCCUUGCACUUGAGGCUUUUGAGGGGAAUGAGAUGCUCUAUAUUUUAUUUUUCUUUUCUCGCAGGUGGGUAUCUUGUACCCCUAAUUCUACUAUUGGACACUUGUCCAUUUUUACCUCUCGUCUCACUUUUUCUUUUUUUUUUCUUUUUUCGAGGUUUCGGGCACUUGCCCCUUUUUAUUUCCUCGUAUUCACUUUUUUUUUCAGAGCACUCACCCUCCUGGAAUAAUGUAGCAAGUGGUAGUAACCAAAAUAUCUAGAACAUUUAUUUCACGGGGAAUAACAGGGAUAGGAUAAUGUUUUUGGCUAUUUUCUCCUAGAUAGGAGUAGAAUAAUUUUGGGUCAAUCUGGAUAUGGAAAUAAGUGGAUGUAUGUGGAUGCAUAGUUCCGGAGUAGAAGCAGCAUGUAUGAGUGAACGUGCAAGUGAAUCUUGAUUUUAACCUCAUGACAAGCUCCUAAGGGUCUACACAGCUUGACCACACUCAAUACUCAUAAGCAGUAAAAAGUAAAUGUAUGGUUCAUAGUCUAAUAAGCAUGUAUAUAUGGCUGUGGUAGGAUUUUCAACUCUCAUCAUACAGGAACUCAUCAUGCAAUAUUUUAAAGAUUUUCAAAGAUAAAAUUCUCCAGAAUUGUAGCAUCUCUAGGAACAGAUAAACAAUAGCUCAACCUUCCCAUAUCAUAUCCGUUAACGACUUAGACUUUAGAUCAAGUACUUUUCCCACGAGUUCAGAUUCAGAGCAAAUCUUAAUUAAUAACAGUCAUGCCUAAACUUGAGAGAGAUUUCAAUUUUGAGAACUAGUCAUGGCAGAGCAACUAUUCACCAUUUCCAUGUGAGAGCUUAUCAUGAGGGUUCAUAACAAACUUUAUUUAUUUAUUUAGCAAACUAAGCAAAGAUAUAUGUAUAUAAGCACAAAAUCUUUAUUUGGGUUUUUACGAUUAUGCAUCUUUUUAUUAUUUGAGUAAAGUAUAAACGUGAGUAGAACACUUAGCUGGAUAAAUUGGGGUGCUCUCCCCGAAGCUGGAUUUUGACAUAAUUUCUCCUGAUGUAGCUAGCAGGUAGCGGAGGUGUAUUUGAAUGUCGGCAGCACCCUGACAGCGAUUAGUAUGUCCUCCGUCUGCUUAGUCUUCUUUGAUCCUUGAAUUAUGUGGAGCUCAAAUAGACAACAAAGCUUUGUGGAACUAGUUAAGUGUUAGCAUAAAUAUCUAGCCUUUAUCAUGUUGAGCCUCCUCAAUAAAUGUUACUCUAUUUAGUAGGAUCAUAAAUUUAUUUUUUUGUAUUUUUAUUUUUAUAGGACAGGAAUAUAUUUAUUUUAUUUUUAUGCCACCACAGUGAAUGUGCUUAUCGGUUUUAUGCCAUGAGCAUACUCACAUGGGGCUUAUUAUUUUUAACAUUUUUAUUUUCUUUUCGAGAUGAUAUGAACAAGGUACCAACUCAGACGCAGAGGUUCUUCAAUAUUCCCUUUGGGAAACUUAGUGUCCGAUCUGCAAGCCUGGGCAUAAUGUUGACGCUGGAGCCAAAGUCGUAGAGUGCUUCUGGGAAGUCCACCAUGCCGAUGGAGAUCGGGAUGACGGGGCGUCCUGGAUCGCCUCUCUUGACCGGCAGAAGGUCAGUAAUUAGUUCCACAACCGGGUUACUCUAGUAGUUACCUUGAUAAUUACCUGAGUAGUUAGGCCUCUGUUGAUUCCAACCUUGAUUUUGUUGAGGACGGUUGUAGUAGUAGUAGUUGUUGUUGAUGUAGUUUACGUCCUCAAGCAUCUCAGGGCAGUGAUUGCCUGAGUGUCUAGAAUCUCUAGUGUGUUUGUGCUCGUAGAUCCAGGUUCUUCACUUGCUGGAGUCUGAAAGUUGUAAAACUCCUUCAUAUUUUGCUCGAAGUGUACCUGCUCAUAGAGACAAGGCAGAGAUCAAGUGCAUGGGCCCUGUUGGUGGAAAACACCAACAGAACCAAAAGUGUAUUUAUUCUUCUCUAACCUUAAGCAUAGUGAGCAAGACAAAGUUGAUGGAUAAUAAGAUCAUGAGUGUAACAUUUAAAGUAUUUGUCAGAUCACAUCGCUCAACCAAAUGGAAAGAUAAUCUAUCUAUACUUAUGUUUUUUUAUAUAUCUUCCAAAGAUUGCGUGUGCAACAAUUUAGCUCAUAUGAUUAGGAGCGUGGGAUCACAAAGGUGGAAGGACUAAACAUAUUGAAUCGAUUGGGUUGGUUAAUCUAGAGUUGUAAAUCAUACAUCCUCUUUUAUUCAUGUGAACGCCAGAACCAAGGAGAAGCUUAUAAAUGUUACCUUACUUGAAGAGUGAUGGUACAGUAUCACCUUGUGAAGCUUUCCUUUCUUAGCGGUUGUGCAACGUGUUUGUGGCACCCUCAAUGGAUCAUAUCUUAUGAGCUAUGCCUUCCUUGUGUAUAUUGUUAACCUUCAUGUGUCUAUCUCUUUGUCUCCAAUAUGAGUUUAUCUGAGGACUUCCCAGGUCGAUAUUGAAAGUUUUCCUGCAGGGGUUAGUCCAACAAAAUAUCCAAUUCUACUAUAGCAUACUAUCAGCUCAAAAAUCAACCUAGACACCAUGUCUAAUUUGAUUUAGGAGGGCAUUUUAACCUAAGAACCAUGCUUAAUUUAAAAUCCCUUGGAAGUAAGAUCAUCAUUCCUAACUAAGCACCAUGCUUCAUUAAGAGAAAUGAAACUACUCCAAACCUAGACAUAUACUAAAGCAAAUAAAGGUAGCAUGAGAGCAUUUAUAGAGAUCUACUCAAGUGG